CGACGUUCACCUCGCUUCCAGCGGGGCGCAGUUCGACUCAGGCCAUGGAACGGGGACCUGAG
The submitters of this non-coding RNA (62 nucleotides) gave its source as unclassified sequences. The record is from Rfam.